AGCAGCCGCGGUAAUUCCAGCUCCAAUAGCGUAUAUUAAAGUUGUUGCAGUUAAAAAGCUCGUAGUUGAAUUUCGGGAUCAAUACGUCGGUCGUGCUUCGGUACGUACUGGUGUCAUUGAUUUCUCCCUUCUGACGAACCAUGAUGUCAUUAACUUGGUGUCAUGGGAAAUCAGGACUGUUACUUUGAAAAAAAUUAGAGUGUUUAAAGCAGGCUCACGCUUGAAUACAUUAGCAUGGAAUAAUGAAAUAGGACGUCCGAUCCUAUUUUGUUGGUUUCUAGGAUUGACGUAAUGAUUAAUAGGGAUAGUUGGGGGCAUUAGUAUUCAAUUGUCAGAGGUGAAAUUCUUGGAUUUAUUGAAGGCUAACUACUGCGAAAGCAUUCGCCAAGGAUGUUUUCAUUAAUCAAGAACGAAAGUUAGGGGGUCGAAGACGAUCAGAUACCGUCGUAGUCUUAACCAUAAACUAUGCCGACUAGGGAUCGGAUGAUGUUAAUUAUUUAAUGA
RNAcentral lists this ribosomal RNA (504 nucleotides) under uncultured Glomus. RNAcentral's name for it is "SSU rRNA". It matches the Rfam family "Eukaryotic small subunit ribosomal RNA", at positions 569 to 1077 of the family's 1831-position model. Lineage: Eukaryota; Fungi; Glomeromycota; Glomeromycetes; Glomerales; Glomeraceae. The record is from RNAcentral.